This 894-nucleotide ribosomal RNA is filed under the name Staphylococcus aureus. RNAcentral describes it as "partial 23S ribosomal RNA". It matches the Rfam family "Bacterial large subunit ribosomal RNA", at positions 288 to 1178 of the family's 2925-position model. The record is from RNAcentral. Lineage: Bacteria; Bacillati; Bacillota; Bacilli; Caryophanales; Staphylococcaceae.
CUUGUUGGGGUUGUAGGACACUCUAUACGGAGUUACAAAGGACGACAUUAGACGAAUCAUCUGGAAAGAUGAAUCAAAGAAGGUAAUAAUCCUGUAGUCGAAAAUGUUGUCUCUCUUGAGUGGAUCCUGAGUACGACGGAGCACGUGAAAUUCCGUCGGAAUCUGGGAGGACCAUCUCCUAAGGCUAAAUACUCUCUAGUGACCGAUAGUGAACCAGUACCGUGAGGGAAAGGUGAAAAGCACCCCGGAAGGGGAGUGAAAUAGAACCUGAAACCGUGUGCUUACAAGUAGUCAGAGCCCGUUAAUGGGUGAUGGCGUGCCUUUUGUAGAAUGAACCGGCGAGUUACGAUUUGAUGCAAGGUUAAGCAGUAAAUGUGGAGCCGUAGCGAAAGCGAGUCUGAAUAGGGCGUUUAGUAUUUGGUCGUAGACCCGAAACCAGGUGAUCUACCCUUGGUCAGGUUGAAGUUCAGGUAACACUGAAUGGAGGACCGAACCGACUUACGUUGAAAAGUGAGCGGAUGAACUGAGGGUAGCGGAGAAAUUCCAAUCGAACCUGGAGAUAGCUGGUUCUCUCCGAAAUAGCUUUAGGGCUAGCCUCAAGUGAUGAUUAUUGGAGGUAGAGCACUGUUUGGACGAGGGGCCCCUCUCGGGUUACCGAAUUCAGACAAACUCCGAAUGCCAAUUAAUUUAACUUGGGAGUCAGAACAUGGGUGAUAAGGUCCGUGUUCGAAAGGGAAACAGCCCAGACCACCAGCUAAGGUCCCAAAAUAUAUGUUAAGUGGAAAAGGAUGUGGCGUUGCCCAGACAACUAGGAUGUUGGCUUAGAAGCAGCCAUCAUUUAAAGAGUGCGUAAUAGCUCACUAGUCGAGUGACACUGCGCCGAAAAUGUACCGG